This 468-nucleotide ribosomal RNA is filed under the name uncultured bacterium. RNAcentral describes it as "partial 16S ribosomal RNA". It matches the Rfam family "Bacterial small subunit ribosomal RNA", at positions 28 to 507 of the family's 1533-position model. The record is from RNAcentral.
GACGAACGCUGGCGGCGUGCUUAACACAUGCAAGUCGAACGGAAAGGCCCUGCUUUUGUGGGGUGCUCGAGUGGCGAACGGGUGAGUAACACGUGAGUAACCUGCCCUUGACGUUGGGAUAACUUCAGGAAACUGGGGCUAAUACCGGAUAGGAGCUCCUGCUGCAUGGUGGGGGUUGGAAAGUUUCGGCGGUUGGGGAUGGACUCGCGGCUUAUCAGCUUGUGGGGGGGGUAGUGGCUUACCAAGGCUUUGACGGGUAGCCGGCCUGAGAGGGUGGCCGGCCACAUUGGGACUGAGGUACGGCCCAGACUCCUACGGGAGGCAGCAGUGGGGAGUCUUGCACAAUGGGCGGAAGCCUGAUGCAACAACGCCGCGUGCGGGAUGACGGCCUUCGGGUUGUAAACCGCUUUCGCCUGUGACGAAGCGUGAGUGACGGUAAUGGGUAAAGAAGCACCGGCUAACUACGUG